RNAcentral lists this long non-coding RNA (129 nucleotides) under Ixodes scapularis (black-legged tick). RNAcentral describes it as "uncharacterized LOC115310565". The record is from RNAcentral. Lineage: Eukaryota; Metazoa; Arthropoda; Arachnida; Ixodida; Ixodidae.
GCGUGUAAUCCACGGCGAAAGGCCCUGUACAGCGCUAUUUCUCCUGCCAUGGAGGUGGUAAAGAGCCUGGCAGCCCUGCUGAAGGAUUCACCAGCUUCUCUCAUUGAGAAGGAGGAGGAUCAUGUCCAG